GGUGGCUCGCGCGUCGGCUGUCACCUUCGGCCUCGUCUACGGCAGCGUCAAGCUCUCCUACCUCCAGGUCCUCAUAAAGGGGCGUUUAAGCAUGAUAUUUUUGACGUAAAGAUGGCUUGCGUAGCUCACUAGGCUGGUCAUUUGCUUACGUUAGUAGGAGUUAGGCAAAAGCAAAGCGGCACAAGAAAGCAGAGGCAAAAGGUCACCACUAAUAAGAAGGAUGUGACCUGCUAUGCUCCCAUUCAUAUUCUGAAUCUCAAUUGUUGCAAACUUUUUGUUAGUAUAUUUCUCCCCUACAUGUUGGUUCAUGGUUUUCUUGUGCAUGAGAUCACAGUGUGCCCAAAAAAGGUGGUUUCUUUAGCAUAUUUUUUUUACUUCAAUAAUUGAUUUUUAAUUGUGACAGUCUGGAUCAUCCUUUAUUUUACAUUAAAUCUGCAUAUAUAAUCUCUCUGUCACCAAAGGCUGGUGCUUCGACUUCAUACAUGUGUUGGAUUACUCGCACUGUUGGUUGAGCACUCUGCUUCCAUUAUCAAUAUAAUAUUGAAUUUUUUAGGGAUAGAAGAGAGGACAACUCUUUCUUGUUUUCUUCUUCGCCACCUCUGCAUAAGGAUAAAAGAGAGGAUAUCUCUACUCUGUCCUCUUCUUCCUCACCUCUGGCAAGGGUCCAUUGUUGUCAUUGCAUCUCUCAUUUUUAACAUCAGUAGAAGGAGAUGAUAAGAGAGGCUUUGUCCUCUUUUUCCAUCUGAACAUGGAGAAGGCCUGCAGCCCUCUCUGCUCUCCAUCCUUAGUACUAUCGAAUUACAGUGCUCUCCAUCGUUAGUUUGGAACGAAACAUGCAAGGAUGAAAUUAAUAUAAACAGAAAAGUGUGUAGAGACUAGAGACUGAGUUAAAUAUACGGUUAAAGUACAUGGAUCAUUAGAACUAUUUCUCCUGCUAGUAUCUGGCAUUAGCUGAACCAUAAAAACCAAAGCUGGAAUUGGUUCUUGUCUCAUCAGUGUAAACAUUUGUCUGUCAUACAUUUAUGACCAUCUUAACUUGCUGGACAUAUAGUAACGUUCAUUUCUGUUGUCUGUUUGCGGCAAUUUGCUUCCAACCACAUUACUAUGUUUGUCUAGAAUGAAGAGGGAGCACUAAGACGGCAUUGCAGUUGAGGCAUGAUGUUUUUUUGAAGGGGAUUGACUAAUAUUCUGUAUCUGGUUGAAUUAUCAUUUACUUUGCAAGAGUGUUUUAUCCAGAAAGUAUUUGGAUGAUGAGUUGAUGAUUAAGUUCCGUAACAAAGAAGAGCCUCCUCCAUGAA
Molecule: non-coding RNA, 1298 nt
Organism: Musa acuminata subsp. malaccensis (wild Malaysian banana)
Lineage: Eukaryota; Viridiplantae; Streptophyta; Magnoliopsida; Zingiberales; Musaceae
Source: RefSeq, a predicted model, not a curated record